CUUCCCAAGCCUUACAGCCCUUCAUAAUUUUAUAUCAUGUUUGCCUCAUCACAUUUUGUCUGAUUAAUUAAAAUGAGAUGGAAAAUUCCUGAUUACUUUCUCUCUGAAUUUCAUUUGUCAGUAACACGUCUUUCUUCCACCACCACAUGAAACAGAAAAAUACUGAAUUGCAUUUCUUACCAAAAAGCAGUUUUUACUGGAAUACUGGGAAGCAGGGAUUGAUAUAUUUUUAUCAGCACUUCCCCAACUAGUUACAUCAUGUUAUUUUGUGUACUGUUCCCAUUGACAGCGAUGCUAUGAAAAGCCAUGGUGCAUGCUGGGUAAUGCAGACUUCGAGCAUUCGCACUCCAUUAAUUAAUUCAUCACCUAAAAGCUAAGUAUUGAUUUUUUAAUGGUUUUACAAAUCUAUUUAAGUUUCAGUGAUGUGAUUAAGAGGAUAUGUGUUUACUGUAAAUUAUCUAACAAGUACAAUGGUAUUACUCUCAGAAAUAGUAAACAAUUUAGCUUGUGAGAGAGAGAAAAAAGAUUGGUUAAAAUAUUUUUGCAAAUACUAUUUAAUAGCUAUUACAAGCCAUUAAAAUAUGGCUUAAAAACCCUAUUAUUUCAAACCAUGGGUACUAUGGUUCUUGAUUUUCAGUAAGAAUGAGAUCAUACACCCAUGAUUUUUUCCCCAAUCCUACUACAAAUUAUAGUGAGAUAAACAUUCUUUGAUUAGUAGCGUUGGUCCAAAAUUUUCACUUUAAUUCUUAUUGUGGAAUAUUAUGGAAGAUGUGGAAUUAGUUUACAUUUUUCUAUUUUCAUUCCCAGAAAUUGUUUGGGCUCACAAAUCAUUUAGAAAUAUUCCUGCAGAUAAUUCUGGCUAUUGGGGUUGAACCCAGGAGUCCCCGUUCUUGUCCACGGAAGACGACUCAGCUACUGAAAGGUAACUACGUUACAUUCAGAAUCCAGCAGUCACGGAGAUUUAGCUUGGGUGGCAAUGGUAACUGCUUUUUAAUCAACUCUCGAUACACUCAAUGCUGGGGCACAUCUACGUUCUGUUGAGGAAACUUGAUGAUAUUUCUAAGUAUGUCCAGUAACACAUGAUUGACUGGUUCUUCCGAUCGAAUAUGUGUAGUAAAAAGUAAAUCUCUUGACAAUGAAAUAAGUUAGAAGACAAUCAGUUCUGUUUAGAAAUCCUAACAGUCUUGUGCUUACACCAUGGUUGUUUGGUUCUGAAGCAUUAGAUUAUGUUACUCAGAAUCUUGGUAUCCCUUUGGUAUUAUUAGUCACCUGAUGAAAUAAUUUCAAAAAAUCUUCUCUUUGCUGCUAUCGGAUACUCAUGUGAGUACCCUUCCCACACAGUCGGCAUAUUGUAAUACGGAUGUGUACAUCAUGCUGAAAAGGCAUACCUUCAGAAGCAAAAUUUGAUUGUAUUUUCAACUUUAAUUAUUUUCUCCAUCACCGAAUCCAGAUUCGGAGACCUGGUAUUGACUU
This 1473-nucleotide long non-coding RNA is filed under the name Felis catus (domestic cat). RNAcentral's name for it is "lncRNA (ENSFCAG00000047837.1)". The record is from RNAcentral. Lineage: Eukaryota; Metazoa; Chordata; Mammalia; Carnivora; Felidae.